GUGCUAUCGUUCCAGCCCAUAUACUAAAAUUGGAAUGAUACAGAGAAGAUUAGCAUGGCCCCUGUACAAAGAUGACACAUAAAUUAUUUUGUUAUACUAUGUAAAU
Sorex araneus (European shrew) is the source of this 106-nucleotide small nuclear RNA. The record is from RefSeq and is a predicted model, not a curated record. NCBI's taxonomy places the organism in Eukaryota, Metazoa, Chordata, Mammalia, Eulipotyphla, Soricidae.